Molecule: long non-coding RNA, 1027 nt
Filed under: Olea europaea subsp. europaea
Lineage: Eukaryota; Viridiplantae; Streptophyta; Magnoliopsida; Lamiales; Oleaceae
Source: RNAcentral
UAUGGAGUUCCCAUUGUUCUUAUUUUCUACCAUAUGCACAUGCAUUUUUGUUCCUAACCUCAAAUUCAAAGCACCGGAAAUCUGCCAAGCUUCCUCCGGGGCUUUAUCCUUUUCCGAUAAUCGGGAACAUUCUACAACUCAGAGAACACCCCCACCAGUCACUGGCCAAAUUUCCCAAACCUAUGGACCUCUUAUGUAUCUUAGAAUGGGCUAUCGUGAAACAAUAGUCGUUUCAUCACCAAAAAUGGCUAAAACUAUACUACAAAAAUAUGAUCAAUCCUUCAGUGGCAGAACCGUUCCCGUGACCCUUGAAUACUCGGAGCAUGACAAGUUUUCUUUGCCGUUUUUGCCAGUUGAUAAUCAAUGGCAUAAACUUCGCAAAAUAUUGAAAGAACAGAUGUUUUCACUGCAAAGGCUAGACGCAAGCCAGGGCAUUCGAUGAGAAAAAUUGCAGAAACUAUGCGACUAUGUGAAUCAAUGUUGUGUUAAUGGUCAUGUAGUGGAUAUAGCUGAUGCUACAUUUACGACCUCACUUAACAUGAUUUCGUCCACUCUUUUCUCAGUUGAUUUUACUGACUUCAAUUCUGAUUCCUCUCAAGAGUUGAAGGAUGUUGUGUGGAAUGUAACUAAAUGUAUUGGUAGUCCUAAUCUUGCAGAUUAUUUUCCAGUUCUUAAAUAUGCUGAUCCACAAGGCAUCUCAUGCCGAACCAGGAUUUAUUUCGGAAAAUUAUAUUCAAUUCUGGAAAGUAUUAUAGAUCAACGGUUGAAAUCGAUUUCAAUCCAGAUUGGUAAUCCAAUCCAGAUUCGUUUAUGCCAGAAAGAUUUUUAGAUCAAAAAAUUGAUUUCAAUGGCAAAGAUUUCAAGUUCAUUCCCUUUGGUGCAGGGAGGAGAAUAUGUCCGGGAUUGCCUUUUGUGCACCAGGUAGUACAUGUCAAAUUGGCCACUGUGAUUCACAACUUGGAUUGGAAACUUGAAGAGGGACUAGAACCAGAAGACAUUGACAUGAGUGAGAAAUACUCAAGUACUC